UACGUAGGGUGCGAGCGUUGUCCGGAAUUAUUGGGCGUAAAGAGCUCGUAGGCGGUGUGUCACGUCGGCCGUGAAAACCUGCAGCUUAACUGUGGGCGUGCGGUCGAUACGGGCAUCACUGGAGUUCGGCAGGGGAGACCGGAAUUCCUGGUGUAGCGGUGAAAUGCGCAGAUAUCAGGAGGAACACCGAUGGCGAAGGCAGAUCUCUGGGCCGUAACUGACGCUGAGGAGCGAAAGCGUGGGGAGCGAACAGG
Molecule: ribosomal RNA, 254 nt
Filed under: uncultured bacterium
Lineage: Bacteria
Description: partial 16S ribosomal RNA
Rfam family: Bacterial small subunit ribosomal RNA
Source: RNAcentral